Non-coding RNA from Sus scrofa (pig), 5168 nucleotides. The record is from RefSeq and is a predicted model, not a curated record. NCBI's taxonomy places the organism in Eukaryota, Metazoa, Chordata, Mammalia, Artiodactyla, Suidae.
AUGGCGCUCCCGCAAUCCCUUUCGCCUUCCAGAGCCUCGUAAAGUCUGAGGAGUCUUUGACCCUUGAAGCCCUUGGUGUUUCAGAGAAAUUGGGUUGAUUUAUGCGGAGGUAUAGUAACGGUUGGGAGUGCAGCUUACUUGGGGUAGCUCUGCAAAUGAACACGGUCAAACAGGUUUGCGUCCCUUGAUCCCUGAGCAAUGGCCCUCCCCCUAGAGCUCGUGCAUCUUUCCUCCCAAGUCUUGUUACCAGAACGGGAGAGGGUCCUGAGGUCUGAAAGAUGACAUCAUAUGGGCGAGAGGGAGGUGAAGAUGCAUGAACGUGCCCGUUGAAUGGAACUAACGCCCUCAUCCAGGUGGAGGCUGCUGACUUCAGGCUGAGCAGAAGCAUAUGGACCCCAGACUGGCUGGAACCAGAAGGCUGAUGACUGAGACUCCUGGAGCACUGCCCUGUUACCUCAUCACUAACCAAUCAGAAAAGAGAUGCUUCAUAGAGGAAAUGCCCUUUCUACAGUAACAGAAAGAACAGGAAUGGAGACUUCUAUCCACAAUGGACUAGAGAGAAAGGAAGCACUUCCUUGCCAUGCUGGCCACAGCCUUCCUGAUUGCAUCCUCCAAGUCGAUGCCAGAAGUAACAAAGAAUUGGAUGUUGCUGAGUAUGUUCCAGGACUCCUGGACAUUGAUUCCUUCAAGCCUGACCACCAGAAACAUAAAUUCUCGUUUUCGGCAGUCUUUAAUAACGUUAUCAGCAAUAAUAGAAAAUUUCAUUUUUACGACAAAAACUUUGCUGAAGAUGGCUUCAACCUUAGGAUCAGCAAUAAGCAAUUAAAAUAUUUAAUACACUUGAGCUUCCCUAACACCACUGAGAUUGAAGAAGUUGGCUGGGCUUUGACCACGAAGAGAAAUGAUGUCAGAGCCAUGUCUAGUCCAGCACCAUUCACAAAGCAAGUGGCAUUCCCAUCAAGUUUUAUGUAUUUUAGGUCAUAUUUGGUGAUUUAAUUUUUAGUAUAUGCAAUUUUUAUUUGUUGUCUAUAACAAAUAUAACUUUUUGUAUAUAUCUUGAAUUGUCCUCAAAGUUUAUCUUGGCAUGAAAACAGACACCUUGUCCUUCUGGAGUUUCACCAAAGGAUGUCACUUCAACCUAAGUUGGAUAAGUUUCUAGGAAGAAAUUAUGUAAUUUCUUAAUUUGAUUCAUAGCCUGAUUUUCUUAGACCCCUGUAAAUCUAAGUUUUCUCCUGUCAACUAAACUUGACUGUUCUUCAAAAAUGUGAAUUUUCUCCUUUUAAAAAUAUAUUCUAGUAUAGGUGUUCCCAUCAUGGCGCAGUAGAAACGAAUCUGACUAGGAACCAUGAGGUUGCAGGUUCCACCCCCGGCCUUGCCCAGUGGGUCAAGGAUCCAGCGUUGCUGUUAGUUGUGGUGUAGUUUGCUGAUGUGGCUUUGAUCUCACGUUGUUAUGGCUGGGGUGUAGGCCAGCAGCUGUAGCUCUGAUUCGACCCCUAGCCUGGGAACCUCCAUAUGCCAUGGGUAUGGCACUAAACAAACAAAUACACACACACACAUACAUAUGUGUAUGUAUGUGUGUGUGUGUGUGUGUGUACAUAUAUAUAUAUAUUCUAGUAUAGAAGUUGCCAGUGAUUAAAUGUCAAUGUCCCUGCUUGAGGCUGUCAAUCAGUAAUGGCCAUUACAGGAUGGGUCCAUUAAAAUUUCCAAAUAGGAGCAUCAUACACAGUAUCAGUCACAACAUAUUUGAACUGUUACUUUGUUUUCUGACGUUAUUUUCUUGUUCUUGGAUUCCUGCAGGGUCAGCCAUCUUUUAGAGAUGAAUUAAACUUUCUUGGACUUGGCUGACAAGAGUGAGAGCCUGAGCACCAGGACUCACCAAUGUUUUUGGCCUUCACUGUCAUGCGGGAAUGACAUCUUAAACAAAAAUCAAGCACAGAGGAGCCUGACUGGGUGAUUGAGAUGAGGGGAAAAGGAAGCUUGGCAGAGAUUUAAUUCUUUAUUGGAAACAAACCCAAAUAUCCAUAUAUUCAUAUUGUAUGUGUGUGUGUAUGAAUGUACACACGUUUGUGGCUGUCUUUGUUUUUUGGCAUUUUUUUUCGUGUAGCUGAUUUCUACUCUCAUAGCAUUAUAGUUAGAAAAGAAGCCUGAUAUGAUCUCGGUUUUCUUAAAUUUUACUGAGACUCAUUUCAUGUGAUACAUCCUGGAGAAUGUUCCAUGUGCACUUGAAAAGAAUGUAUAUUCUACUGCUUUUGGAUGGACUGUUUUCUCUCUGUAUAUAUCUAUUAAGUCCAUCUUAUCUAAUGUAUCUUUUAAGGCAAGUGUUUCCUUAUUGAUUUUUCUGUCUGGAUGAUCUGUCCCUUGAUAUAAGUGGGGUGUUAAAGUCCCCUACUCUUACUGUGUUACUGUCAAUUUCUCCCUUUAUAUCUGAUUGUAUUUGCUUUAUGUAUCUAGGUGUUCUUAUAUUGGGUACAAAUAUAUUUGCAAUUGUUAUAUCUUUAGGUUGGAUUGAUCCUUUGAUCACUAUAUAAUAUCUUUCUUUGUCUUUUAUUAUAGUCCUUGUUUUAAAAUCUAUUCUGUUUAAUAUAAGUAUUGUCACUCCAUAUUUCUUUUGAUUUCUAUUUGCUUGGAAUAAUUUUUUCCAUUCCCUUACUUUCAGUCUAUGUGUGUAUUUAGAUCUUAAAAGAGUCUCUUACAGGUAGCAAAUAUCUAUGUUUGUUUUUGUAUUCAUUCAGCCAUUUGAUGUCUUUCAAUUGGGAGUAUUCUAUUUACAUUUAAAGUAAUUUUUUUUUUUUUUUUUUUUUUUUGCUUUUUAGGGCUGCAUCCAAGGCAUGUGGAAGUUCCUAGGCUAGGGGUUGAAUUGGAGCCAUAGCUGGCAGACUACAUUACAGUCACAGUAGUGGGGAUCUGAGCCACAUCUGUGACCUACACCACAGCUCAUGCGACACCAGAUCCUUAACCCACUGGGCAAUGCCAGGGAUCAAACCCAUAUCCUCAUGGUUCCUAGUCAGGUUCGUUAAUCACUGAGCCACAAAGGGAACUCCCUAAAGUAAUUAUUGAUAAAGAGUUCCCUGGGGUUCAGUGGGUUAAGGAUCAAGCAUUGUCACUGCUGUGGCUUGGGUUGCUCCUAUGGUGUGGGUUUGAUCCCUGGCCCCAGAACUUCUGCAUGCCAAGGACAUGGCAAACAGACAAACAAACAAACAAACAAACAUUGAUAGGUAUGUACUUACUGCCAUCUUGUUCAUUGUUUCAAGGUUAUUUUUGCAGUUGUUUUGUUUUGUUCCUUUUUUUUUUUUAUUCUUUUCCCUUGUGAUUUGAUGAUUAUUUUUAGUGUUUGGUGCUUGGAUUCCUUUCUCUUUUUUUCUGUCUAUAUCUAUUGUAGAUUUUUGAUUUGUGGUUACUCUGAGGUUAAUAUGUAGCAAUCUAAAUAUACAAUGAUUAUUUUAGGUUGCAGAUCUCUUAAUUUAAAACACAUUUUAGCAACCCAGCAUUUUUACUCCUCCCCACCACAUUUACUGUUUUUGACAUCAUAUUUUGCACCUUUUUAUUUUGUGUAUCCCUUAACUACUUAUUCCACACAUUGACGAUUUUACCAUUUAUGUCUUUUAACCUUCCUUCUAGCUUUAUAUUUGGUUUAUUUGCUAACUUUACUAUAUAUUUGUCUUUACUAAUGAGCUUUGUCCUUUCACAGUUUUCAUGUUUGUAGUCAUGGCCUUUUUUUUUUUCCAUUGGGAGAAGUCCCUUUAACAUUCCUUGUAAAGCUGGUUUCAUUGUGCUGGACUCUUUUAGCUUUUGCUUAUCUGUAAAAUUUUUUAUCUCUUCAUCAAAUGCGAGUGAAAGCCUUGCUGUGUAGAGUGUUCUUGGUUGUAAGUCUUCCCCUUUCAUCACUUUAAAUAUAUCCUGUCACUCUCUUCUGGCCUGUGGAGUUUCUGCUGAGAAGUCAGCUCAUAGCCUUAUGGGCAUUCCGUUAUUUAUAAUUUGUUGCUAUUCUCUUGCUGCUUUUAACAUUCCCUAUUUUUAAUUUUUGAUGUUUUGCCAAUUACAAUGUAUCUUGGUGUACUCCUCCUGGUGUUGAUCCUGCUUGAGACCCUCUGUGCUUCCUGCACCUGGAUGUUUGUCUCCUUUCCCAGGUUAGGAAAUUUUUCAGCUCUUAUGUCUUCAAAUAUGUUCUCUGCUCCUUUUCUCUCUCUCUCUUCUGCUUCUAGGACCCAUAUAAUGCAAAUGUUAGUACACUUGAUAUUGUCUCAGAGGUCUCUUAGACUGUCUUCAUCUUUUUUAUCCUUUUUUCUUUUUUCUGUUCAGCUUCAGUGAUUUUCACUACUGUCUUUCACUUCACUGACUUGUUCCUCUGUAUCAUUUAAUCUACUGGUGAUUCCUUCUAGUGUGUUUUUCAUUUCAGUUAUUGUAUUUUUAAUCUCUGUCUAGUUCUGCUAUAUAUUUUCCAAUUCCUUGUUACAAACUCUUACUCUGUUUAUCCAUUCUUCUCCCAAGUUCUUUGAUCAUUUUUAUGAUCAUUAUCUUGAAGUCUUUUUUUGUUUGUUUGUUUGUUUUGGGGCCUCCAUUAUAAAGUGAUGAAGAAGACUCAGAGAGGUUUUUUUUUUUUUUUUUUUUUUUUUGUCUUUUUGCCUUUUCUAGGGCCGCUCCUGCAGCACAUGGAGGUUCCCAGGCUAGGGGUUGAAUCCAAGCUAUAGCCGCCAGCCAACGCCGGAGCCACAGCAACACAAGAUCCGAGCCGCAUCUUGCAACCUACACCACAGCUCAUGGCAACGCCGGAUCUUUAACCCACUGAGCAAGGCCAGGGACCGAACCUGCAACCUCAUGGUUCCUAGGCGGAUUCGUUAACCACUGAGCCAUGAUGGGAACUCCACCUUGAACUCUUUAUCAGGCAGAUUACCUAAUCUUCACUUUGCUCAUUUCUUCUUCUGGGGUUCUAUCUUGUUCCUUCAUUUGGAACAUGUUUCUCUGUUGCCUUAUUUUACUUUAUUUGCUGUUUUUAUCUCUACGUAUUUGGUGGGUUGGUUACAUUUCCUGACCUUGGAGAAAUGGUAGUUGUUCUAUCUGGAUACGAAUUCUUCAAGAUCAUGGACAGUGUUUCAUCAAUCUUUGUAUCCCCAAUAUCUAAGAUGGUGCAUUAUGUAUACUAGGUGCUCAAUAAAUGAUUAUUAAAUGAA